AACAAGGAUUCCCCUAGUAACUGCGAGUGAAGCGGGAAAAGCUCAAAUUUAAAAUCUGGCAGUCUCUGGCUGUCCGAGUUGUAAACUAGAGAAGUGCUAUCCGCGCUGGACCAUGUACAAGUCUCCUGGAACGGAGCGUCACAGAGGGUGAGAAUCCCGUCUUUGACAUGGACUACCAGUGCAUUGUGAUGCGCUCUCAAAGAGUCGAGUUGUUUGGGAAUGCAGCUCAAAAUGGGUGGUAAACUCCAUCUAAAGCUAAAUAUUGGCGAGAGACCGAUAGCGAACAAGUACCGUGAGGGAAAGAUGAAAAGAACUUUGGAAAGAGAGUUAAACAGUACGUGAAAUUGUUGAAAGGGAAACGCUUGAAGUCAGUCGCAUUGGCCGGAGAUCAAUCUUGCUCUCGCGAGGUGUACUCUCUGGUCAAUGGGUCAGCAUCAAUUUUGACCGGUGGAAAAAGGUCAGGGGAAUGUGGCAUCUUCGGAUGUGUUAUAGCCUCUGGUCGUAUACACCGGUUGGGAUNGAGGAACUCAGCACGCCGCAAGGCCGGGUCUCUGACCACGUUCGUGCUUAGGAUGCUGGCAUAAUGGCUUUAAUCGACCCGU
RNAcentral lists this ribosomal RNA (602 nucleotides) under Volvariella media. Its description in RNAcentral is "eukaryotic LSU rRNA". It matches the Rfam family "Eukaryotic large subunit ribosomal RNA", at positions 67 to 652 of the family's 3401-position model. Lineage: Eukaryota; Fungi; Basidiomycota; Agaricomycetes; Agaricales; Pluteaceae. The record is from RNAcentral.